RNAcentral lists this ribosomal RNA (165 nucleotides) under uncultured bacterium. Its description in RNAcentral is "partial 16S ribosomal RNA". It matches the Rfam family "Bacterial small subunit ribosomal RNA", at positions 1336 to 1500 of the family's 1533-position model. The record is from RNAcentral.
UAGUAAUCGCGCAUCAGCCAUGGCGCGGUGAAUACGUUCCCGGGCCUUGUACACACCGCCCGUCACACCAUGAGAGUUGGGAAUACCCGAAGCCUGUGAGCUAACUUUUAGAGGCAGCAGUCGAAGGUAGAAUCAAUGAUUGGGGUGAAGUCGUAACAAGGUAGC